RNAcentral lists this unclassified non-coding RNA (469 nucleotides) under Hevea brasiliensis (rubber tree). Lineage: Eukaryota; Viridiplantae; Streptophyta; Magnoliopsida; Malpighiales; Euphorbiaceae. The record is from RNAcentral.
AUUGACACCAUACCAAAGCAGUUCAAUGUUGAAAUACUUAAUAGCGGACAUAACCCAAAACGUGUUCUCUCUUCCAAAGCUUCUGGUGAGCCACCACUGCUCCUAGCAGCUUCAGUCCACUGUGCUACGAAAGCUGCUAUCAGGGAAGCACGGAAACAACUUCAUUCAUGGGGUUGCCUAGAGGGUUCUCAUUCAACGUUCCAGUUGGGGGUCCCUGCCACCAUGCCUAUUGUGAAGGAGCUGUGUGGGCUGGACAUCGUGGAGAGUUACUUGCAGUGUAAAAUUGGCAGCAAUUAAAUACUUAUUAAUGGAUGGAAAGACAAUCUUUGUAUAUACAGAAAACAUACUAGGUAAGUUGGCCAGCAAUAUAUAAACUAGAAUUACACAGUACAUUAUUUNNNNUUAAAUAUUUUGAGUUGUCAAGUUAAGAAAAUUUUAUGGCAAAGUUUUGAUGACUUUUGGUAGGCUG